ACUUGGAUAACUGUAGUAAUUCUAGAGCUAAUACAUGAAUAUGUGCUUUGGUUCACGCCAAAUGCGAAUUUAUUAGAUCAAAACCAACCGGUUUCGGCCGUUAAAUUGGUGACUCUGGAUAACUAUUCUGAUCGCAUGACCUUGUGUCGGCGACGUAUCUCUCAAGUGUCUGCCCUAUCAACUUAAGUUGGUGAGUUAGUUGCUCACCAUGGUUAUAACGGGUAACGGAGAAUCAGUGUUCGAUACCGGAGAGGGAGCCUUAGAAACGGCUACCACAUCUAAGGAAGGCAGCAGGCGCGCAAAUUACCCACUCUCAGAACGAGGAGGUAGUGAAUUUAAAUAGCGAUGAUGAACUCUUAUGAGGCUCGUCAAUCGAAAUGAGUACAAUUUAAAUCCUUUAACGAGUACCAAUUGGAGGGCAAGUCUGGUGCCAGCAGCCGCGGUAAUUCCAGCUCCAAUAGCGAAUAUUAAAUUUGUUGCAGUUAAAAAGCUCGUAGUUGGAUCCAAGGUUAGGCAUGCCUGUCUGUUCUUAGUAGCAUGACUGUGUGUGUCUGCCUUUAUUAGUUGAAUGUUCAUUAUGGUGGUCUUCAUCGACUGCUAUGAUGUGCUCAACACGUUUACCUUGAAAAAAUCAGAGCGAUCAAGGCAGGCCUUCGUGCUUGUAUGUUGUUGCAAGGAAUAAUAGAAUAGGACUUCGGUUCUAUUUUGUUGGUUUUGAGAAUUGAAGUAAUGAACAAUAGAGACAGUCGGGGGCAUUUGUAUGGUGGCGUUAGAGGUGAAAUUCUGAGAUCGUCGCCAGACAAACUACUGCGAAAGCAUUUGCCAAGGAUGUCUUCAUUAAUCAAGAACGAAAGUCAGAGGUUCGAAGACGAUCAGAUACCGUCCUAGUUCUGACCAUAAACGAUGCCGACCUACAAUCGGGGGUGGUUUAUUAUAUUGACCCUCCCGGCUGUCCUCAGGAAACUUUAAGUUGGUUCUGGGGGGAAUAUGGUCUCAAGACUGAAACUUAAAGGAAUUGACGGAAGGGCACCACCAGGAGUGGAGCCUGCGGCUUAAUUUGACUCAACACGGGGAAUCUCACCCGGUCCGGACACUGGUAGGAUGGACAGAUUGAUAGCUCUUUCUUGAUUCAGUGGGUGGUGGUGCAUGGCCGUUCUUAGUUGGUGGAGUGAUUUGUCUGGUUAAUUCCGGUAACGAACGAGACUCU
Molecule: ribosomal RNA, 1207 nt
Filed under: metagenome
Description: SSU rRNA
Rfam family: Eukaryotic small subunit ribosomal RNA
Source: RNAcentral